AAAGAUGCCUUUUAGAAAGAUCAAUGGUAUCCCUGGGAGGCCUGCUCUUUCCUGAAGGGAAAGGGGGAGGAUGUGGAUGGGGUUGGGGGUUGAGGGGCAACCACAGACAUGGGGGUGGGGGAAGGACUGGAAGAGUGGAAGGAGGGCAAACUGUGCUUGAGAUGCAUUGUAUAAGAGAAGAAUACAUUUACAAAAGAGAAAGACCAAAUGUGCUUACUCACACAGAAGCUCUGCUCAGCUUCCUGUGAGGAAGCCACCAACAGAGACGACUGCUGAACGAGAAGCCAGAUCCAGAAAUCAGGAAAAAAACAAGAUGUAAUGAGAAGACAACCACUCUGGAAGAGGGGAGUCACCAAGAGCCAGGCUACACCAGCCUCUUGGUCUCUGAAGCCUCGUCCACAGAACUGUGAGAAUGAAGCCUAGUCCCCAGAACUGUGAGAAUGAAGCCUGGUCCACAGAACUGUGAGAAUUAGCAAAGCUGCAUUUUGUGACCUAAGGCUAGGAAUGAGGCUCUGGAAAUCUCUUCCCCACAAUGAAACUGCUUGCUAUACAGCUCAGGAACCAGGCAGCAGCAACUAAAGUGAGUUCCAAUUCAAAAUUCCACAUGAAUGACCCUCACAUAGCUUGACAGAUUUUCGAAAACUGAAGAUGGAGAUCAAACAUUACAAACAGGUGGUGAUGACCAUGAUGUCCAAACCAUGAGGCCCUAAUCAGAUGGGAAAAGGAUGCGGCAGACAGAGUUGCAAGGGAAAUAGCCCUUUUCUGGAAUGUACCUUUACUCUUCUAUUAACUAAUCAACUAACUUCCUGAAGCACCAAUGUCAUUAAUUAGAAAGGGGCAGAUACCACCUACCUCGUUUGAAAGGUUGUUGAAAUGAUGAAUGGUUAUGCAUUGGAAACAUCUAAACUAUACAUGGAGAAUAAGUAGAAACUGACGACAGCUAUGAAUUAAUUACAGGUAUUUUCUAGGGGAAAAAAAAAGUACCCAGUUCCACUAAUAAUACAUGUACCUUUAUAUAAGUCAAGGUUUAACUGAGACAAAUUAGUAAAAUACUUCUUAAUAUUAGACUUCAAUCAUUGGAGCUAAAAUAUCAUGAAAGCAAAUUUUUAAGUCAAAGGGAAUAUAAUCCUUAAGGAGCUAUGAGGAGGUUUGCUUCUGCAUAUUUGUUGUUAGUACAAUAAAGUUAGAUGACAGGAAUCCAAGCAUCGGGGAUCCAAAAGCAUAAUGGAAUCCCACAGAUGACUUUAGUGUAAGGCAGUGGAUGCAAAAUGGAUGCCCCCUGAGGAACUGAGUGGAGGUGACAUUCAAUUAUUUCCUUAGCUGUUCAUU
Long non-coding RNA from Peromyscus leucopus (white-footed mouse), 1329 nucleotides. RefSeq lists it as uncharacterized. The record is from RefSeq and is a predicted model, not a curated record. Lineage: Eukaryota; Metazoa; Chordata; Mammalia; Rodentia; Cricetidae. The transcript has 4 exons.